This 1699-nucleotide long non-coding RNA is filed under the name Selaginella moellendorffii. RNAcentral's name for it is "long non-coding RNA (SMOE_LNC002368)". Lineage: Eukaryota; Viridiplantae; Streptophyta; Lycopodiopsida; Selaginellales; Selaginellaceae. The record is from RNAcentral.
GUCACCUCCGCCACCAACACCGGUCUACCAUUACGCCUCUCCGCCACCUCCGGUCUACUACUACAAAUCGCCACCUCCUCCUUCACCGGUUUACUACUACAAAUCCCCUCCUCCUCCUUCGCCGGUCUACUAUUACAAAUCCCCGCCUCCACCACCAUACUAUUACAAGUCCCCACCUCCACCUCCGCCUAAGUAUUACUACAAGUCGCCCCCACCACCGUCUCCAUACUAUUACAAAUCCCCGCCCCCUCCACCGUACUAUUACAAAUCCCCACCACCACCUCCCUACAAAUACGAAUCGCCGCCGCCUCCUCCUUACAAAUACGAGUCCCCACCUCCACCACCUUACUAUUACAAGUCCCCACCACCACCUCCAUACAAAUAUGAAUCCCCGCCACCUCCAGUCUACAAAUAUGAGUCUCCGCCACCCCCAGUUUACAAAUACAAGUCGCCACCACCACCAUACAAGUACGAGUCACCACCACCACCUCCAUACAAGUAUGAAUCCCCGCCACCUCCACCUUAUUACUACAAGUCCCCUCCACCACCACCAUACAAGUACGAGUCGCCACCACCUCCUCCGUACAAGUAUGAAUCUCCACCACCACCAGUUUACAAAUACAAGUCACCUCCGCCGCCACCUUAUUACUACAAAUCCCCACCGCCACCUCCAUACAAGUACGAGUCUCCACCUCCUCCUCCGUACAAGUAUGAAUCUCCACCACCACCACCUUAUUACUACAAAUCCCCCCCGCCACCUCCAUACAAGUACGAGUCACCGCCUCCUCCUCCGUACAAGUAUGAAUCUCCACCACCGCCAGUUUACAAAUACAAGUCACCCCCGCCACCACCUUAUUACUACAAAUCCCCGCCACCACCUCCAUACAAGUACGAGUCUCCACCUCCUCCUCCGUACAAGUAUGAAUCUCCACCACCACCUCCUUAUUACUACAAAUCCCCGCCGCCACCUCCCUACAAGUAUGAAUCCCCGCCACCACCUCCCUACAAAUACGAGUCACCUCCACCACCACCUUACUAUUACAAAUCUCCUCCACCGCCUCCAUACAAGUAUGAGUCGCCACCACCACCAGUCUACAAAUACGAGUCUCCGCCACCCCCAGUUUACAAAUACAAGUCGCCCCCUCCACCUUAUUACUACAAGUCUCCGCCACCCCCGCCAUACAAAUAUGAAUCCCCACCUCCACCUCCCUACAAGUAUGAAUCGCCUCCUCCUCCACCUUACUACUACAAGUCCCCUCCACCACCUCCCUACAAAUAUGAAUCCCCGCCACCACCUCCCUAUAAAUACGAGUCACCACCACCACCACCUUACUAUUACAAAUCUCCUCCACCGCCUCCAUACAAGUAUGAGUCGCCACCACCACCUCCCUACAAAUACGAGUCACCACCACCACCACCUUACAAGUAUGAAUCCCCACCUCCACCUCCGUACAAGUAUGAAUCACCUCCACCGCCUCCAUACAAGUAUGAAUCCCCUCCUCCACCUCCCUACAAAUACGAGUCACCACCCCCACCACCUUAUUACUACAAAUCGCCUCCGCCACCGGAGUAUCAAUCACCUCCUUACGUGUAUAAAUCUCCACCUCCACCCUCGUACUAGGAGCUAAGGAGCAUUUGAUUUUCAGGUGAGAAAUCUAUAGAACCACAGUUCCUAGUUUUAACAAGUUUUCAAAUUCAU